AGACCGAUAGCGAACAAGUACCGUGAGGGAAAGAUGAAAAGCACUUUGGAAAGAGAGUUAACAGUACGUGAAAUUGUUGGAAGGGAAACGCUUGAAGUCAGACUUGCUUGCCGGAGCUUGCUUCGGUUUGCAGGCCAGCAUCAGUUUUCUGGGGUGGAUAAUGACGGUUUGAAGGUAGCAGUCUCGGCUGUGUUAUAGCUUUCCGUUGGAUACACCCUGGGGGACUGAGGAACGCAGCGUGCUUUUUGCGAAAGUUUCGACUUUUUCACGCUUAGGAUGCUGGUGGAAUGGCUUUAAACGACCCGUCUUGAAACACGGACCAAG
Molecule: ribosomal RNA, 324 nt
Filed under: Rhodotorula sp. RC93-2B Y22
Lineage: Eukaryota; Fungi; Basidiomycota; Microbotryomycetes; Sporidiobolales; Sporidiobolaceae
Description: LSU rRNA
Rfam family: Eukaryotic large subunit ribosomal RNA
Source: RNAcentral